Molecule: transfer RNA, 76 nt
Filed under: Candidatus Thermochlorobacter aerophilus
Lineage: Bacteria; Pseudomonadati; Chlorobiota; Chlorobiia; Chlorobiales; Candidatus Thermochlorobacteriaceae
Description: Candidatus Thermochlorobacter aerophilum tRNA-Lys
Rfam family: tRNA
About the family: Transfer RNA (tRNA) molecules are approximately 80 nucleotides in length. Their secondary structure includes four short double-helical elements and three loops (D, anti-codon, and T loops).
Source: RNAcentral
GCAUCCGUAGCUCAGUUGGUAGAGCAGCUGACUCUUAAUCAGCGGGUCCUAGGUUCGAAUCCUAGCGGAUGCACAA